AGUGAACGCUGGCGGUAGGCCUAACACAUGCAAGUCGAACGGCAGCACAGUAAGAGCUUGCUCUUACGGGUGGCGAGUGGCGGACGGGUGAGGAAUACAUCGGAAUCUACUUUUUCGUGGGGGAUAACGUAGGGAAACUUACGCUAAUACCGCAUACGACCUACGGGUGAAAGCAGGGGAUCUUCGGACCUUGCGCGAUUGAAUGAGCCGAUGUCGGAUUAGCUAGUUGGCGGGGUAAAGGCCCACCAAGGCGACGAUCCGUAGCUGGUCUGAGAGGAUGAUCAGCCACACUGGAACUGAGACACGGUCCAGACUCCUACGGGAGGCAGCAGUGGGGAAUAUUGGACAAUGGGCGCAAGCCUGAUCCAGCCAUACCGCGUGGGUGAAGAAGGCCUUCGGGUUGUAAAGCCCUUUUGUUGGGAAAGAAAAGCAGCAGGUCAAUACCCCGCUGUACUGACGGUACCCAAAGAAUAAGCACCGGCUAACUUCGUG
RNAcentral lists this ribosomal RNA (492 nucleotides) under uncultured bacterium. RNAcentral's name for it is "partial 16S ribosomal RNA". It matches the Rfam family "Bacterial small subunit ribosomal RNA", at positions 29 to 507 of the family's 1533-position model. The record is from RNAcentral.